RNAcentral lists this ribosomal RNA (375 nucleotides) under uncultured bacterium. Its description in RNAcentral is "bacterial SSU rRNA". It matches the Rfam family "Bacterial small subunit ribosomal RNA", at positions 525 to 896 of the family's 1533-position model. The record is from RNAcentral.
ACGUAGGACACAAGCGUUAUCCGGAGUUACUGGGCGUAAAGGGCGUGUAGGCGGGUUGGUAAGUCUAUUCUGAAAGCUCCUGGCUAAACUGGGAGAGGCGAAUGGAGACUGCCAGUCUAGAGUGAGGAAGAGGAAAGUGGAAUUCCGCGUGUAGUGGUGAAAUGCGUAGAGAUGCGGAGGAACACCAGUGGCGAAAGCGACUUUCUGGUCCUUAACUGACGCUGAGGCGCGAAAGCAUGGGGAGCGAACGGGAUUAGAAACCCCGGUAGUCCAUGCCAUAAACGAUGUUCACUAAACGUUCGUUUCCCGCGAGGGAAGUGGGUGUUGAAGCUAACGCAGUAAGUGAACCGCCUGGGGAGUACGGUCGCAAGGCUA